CAAAGAACUAUUUUCUUAAGAAAUGGAUGGUUUAUAGCCUGAUAUAUAAUUAUUUUUAAUCAUAGUUUAGUUUUUCAAACAGCAAAUUGUUGAUCUGAUUGCAUGAGGUUAUGAGUUGUCUUUCCUAAUUAUCUGAUGAAUUUAAAAAUAGUUUUUCAGGGUUAGGGAUGUAGUUCAGUGGCACAGUGCUUGCCUAGCAUGUGUGAGGUCCUGGAUUCAAUUUCUAACACCUGAAACAAAACACAAAAAUCAAAAAUGUCUUCAGAUAGAUUAAUUGCUUGUCAAAAAAUAGCGAAUAAUAGUCUCUCAUAAAUAACUGAAGCAAAAUUUAAUACUAGUGAAAAGGUCUAUAAAAAUGUUACAUUUUAAUAGUAUAUUCAAUGGCUACAUGGUUGAAAAUGAAGCAUUUUAAUGUUCUUUCUUAUUGUUUAUAGGUAACAUUUUAGGGAUGUAUCAUGAUUCUCUGCUUAGACCUCUAAAUUUCUAAUAUUUAAAAUUUGAUAUGCAGAAAUCAUUUAGCUUGAUUCCAGAUCUUUAUUCAGGAGGUCCACAAGGAUUUGAAAAUAUAUUGGAUAUUUUGCCACUAUAAUGUCGUCCUCCAAACAAACUAAAAAAGAAGGAGAUAAAAGAAAAAAGAAAGCAAAAGGAAACUAUAAAAUCUAAGUAGAUAUGAAAAGAUUUAAAAGCUAAUACCUGCUAAGAAAGAGGAAAUGUCUCAAAUAUAAAAUCUUGGUGAAUCUCCUAUGUAUUUUUCAACUUAGCACUUAUUGUGAUAUACUGCUAUCCAUUAGUGGUUUCAAUAACCAUUUCUUCUACUUGCCUUUUUAAAACAGCCUGACUUAAUUCCAUAAAUCCAUAUUUAUCAUUGCCAUUAAUGCAUAAUCUCUUCUUUACUAAGUCUAAAAGCAUUUUAACCUAUAAAUAUACAUAUAAACACAGAAAGGUGGGGAAAUUGCCUAUAAUAAUAAGUCAUUUCAA
Molecule: long non-coding RNA, 978 nt
Filed under: Marmota monax (woodchuck)
Lineage: Eukaryota; Metazoa; Chordata; Mammalia; Rodentia; Sciuridae
Source: RNAcentral